GCCCUUGACCGACCGGAUGACACGGACUGAUACCUACGGACGACUAGCACUUGCUCCAUAUUUAUCGUAUAGCAUCCUUCAAUUUACGAGAAAUACAUCAGAAAAGUAGCUGUCCCCCUGCUCAGAUUUUUGUCUGCUGAUACCUUUAGCCUCACAUGUGACCUGACCUCUAUGUGGCAGUGCAGACAUUGUGUAACCAGAGAGAUUAGCAGAACACAGACACCGAGGUCAGCGCCUGCAAGGCACAAACUGUGCUGGGAGUCUAUGCAAUGAAAA
Long non-coding RNA from Gadus morhua (Atlantic cod), 276 nucleotides. RefSeq lists it as uncharacterized. The transcript has 4 exons. NCBI's taxonomy places the organism in Eukaryota, Metazoa, Chordata, Actinopteri, Gadiformes, Gadidae. The record is from RefSeq and is a predicted model, not a curated record.